Molecule: non-coding RNA, 5085 nt
Organism: Amborella trichopoda
Lineage: Eukaryota; Viridiplantae; Streptophyta; Magnoliopsida; Amborellales; Amborellaceae
Source: RefSeq, a predicted model, not a curated record
GACUUUUGGGAAAAAGAUGGAGCAAGGCUUUGGAAGACCGAAGAAGCUCGAUAGAACUCUCUUCUCCCCUGAUCUCACGGAUAAGGAAGCUCGAUAGAACAACAAGGUCUUGGGAAGACCUGUGUUUCAUUGAAAAUAGGAGAGGAAAAUGGGAGAGCAGUCUAGAGUGGGCGCGCAGGUGAUCAGAGGGUAGCGAAGCUAGACCUUUUUCUUCACGCAGCGGGGUUAGAUGGCCGGGGCAUCCAGUAACAGAGUGUUCGGUGAGCUUUCUGCCUUCCAUGCUUUUUCUUCUUUCCACGUCUUCUUAGUGCCCAUUUUAGCAUAUUUAGAUGCCAUUUAGCCCUUAGGCAUCCCCUUGAGCACUUCAAGCAUUUUUGCAUUUCUUUGCAUCUUCAACACUUAAAUAGCACUUUUGGUGCUUUUUAAGCAUUUUUGGCACUUUUUGCAUAUUUUAAGUGCCUUUUAAACAUUUAAAGUGCUUUAUGAGCAUUUAAAGUGCCUUUUAAGCAUUUUAAGUACUUUUUUAUAGCAUUUUAAAUGCCUUUUAAGCACUUUUUGAGCAUUUUAAAUGCCUGUUAAGCAUUUUGAUGCCCUUAAGAGUGCUUUAACACUUUUUGGGCACUUUUAAUGCUUUUGAAGGACCUUUGUAUGGAUUUCACCUGACGAAUAAGGGGCUCUGUCGGGGUUCGUUUGGCUUGGGUAUGUCCAACAGUUCAGUUUCCGUGAGCAUCCUUUGGGGUGCCGUGGAUCAGUCAGGCACCUUUUUUGUCAAAAAGUCCAGUUUACAGGGGAGAUGUUGCCGAAGUUUUGCUAGGCCCUGUGUCUUCUUUUCUUUGAUUUCUCUCUGGGUUUUUGUGCACCCUUGACCUUGUUUUCCUCAUGCCAUUUCCAAUGAUGUGCACCUGGUCAAGAAUCUCCUCAAAUUGGGCGACCUUGGGAUUGCCACCUUUACAGGUGUUAGUUUGGUAAGAAGGGAGCCCAUAUGGCUCACAAAGCCUGCUCGUGCCCUGGAAUGGCUUUUAAGUGUUACCUUUGCUAGUGAGACUGCCCGCAUUCACGUUCGCGAGACUGAUGAUGGGGAGUUUAUAGUUUGAGAAGAGGGAAUUCCAAUAUUUCAUAUUUUGCACCAUGAUGGGGAGUUUAUAGUUUGAGAAGAGGGAAUUCCAAUAUUUCAUAUUUUGCACCGUGACCUGGACUCCAGUGAGGAUCUCCCCACCCUUGGGAAACGAAUGGCUAAAAUGAAGGAGUUAAUUUGGUCCCCUCAUGUGCUUAGAAUGCAGGGGGAGCAUCAAUUCAUAAAGGGGUAUAGCCCUUGGACCCAUGAAAUUCUUCAUGUUUAUGAGGACGAGCUCAAGCUCGCCUCUUUGCUAGCAGCAGUGCAGAAUUCCGUUGGGUACUUCGGCCGCUGCCCGAACACCAUGAGGGCCCUCUUAGUGACUUGGAGCCAUGUUAGCAACUCAUGGCUCUUUGGCCACGGUGAGGGCGGGAUUUCCUUGCUAGACCUACACUUUAUCGGGGGUCUGUCGCUGAUGGGGGCUAUGUAUGACGAAUUCAUCCCCCACAAUUUAGGCAGCUUCGGUAGAAAAUCAUUGGGGUGUGAGGUACCCCCUCCCGGCCUUCGAGAGACGUUCAAAAUCUACCAGCUUCUCAGUUUACAAGCAGUGAUGAUCAAGUGAACUUCUGCCGCCGGAUUAGGUUUUUCUUCGGGGAACACACAUGUUACUGAGUUAGAGAAUUGCGUUCUAGGAGUCAAGGGCAAGGAAAGGGCGGAAGUGUCCUGUGCCACUUUCAUAUGCCGGUCUGCGAAGGACAAUGUAUAUCUUGCUGCGUAUCUAGCCCUCUUCAUAUGCAAGUUCGGCCUCCCUGGCUCGAGCGACGUGAUUCGAUCGGGUUGCUUCUUUGCAUCCUGUGACAUGGCAUGAGGACGCCAGUAUGCCCUAACACAACCAAUAUUGUGCAAUAUUUACUACGGCCUAGGGGCAAUUUCUUGAGGCAAGUCGUUCAAGGGGGGAGAUGGACCCAGGUUGGCAAGAGGAGAAGCCUUCUCAGGGAAUUUUAAGACAACGUUCCCAGCUCAUUGCUUGUUUAGCUGGCUUUCUGCGUACUUCCCCAGUAUAUACGCGACAAAUGAUGCUCUAUCUGGAGCUAUGUGGCCCCAACUUGUGAAGAUCGUAAGGCAAAAGGCCCAGUUCCAUACCCCUGGUCAUGAGUGAAGCUUAUUUGGCAGUGACUCUUUCUUCACACGUCGUAACCCAUUUCCCAUAGGUGGCUGCACUGAUCGUGCCUUUGCCGACUAGCUGAGCCAUGAGUUGGACUGUGCCUCUACUAGCAUCCCUAAGCUGAUGUUUCUUUUAAGCGUAACAGGAGGUAUCCUGCCUUUCAGAACACCGUUUGGCUCGAAGCUUGAAGCAUACUACCCUCAUCAUUUUGCUCGUCAACAUGGGCUAGACCAGGGAUGCCCAUUCCAUAUAUUGUUCAAGAUGCAGUAUGAGAAAGAGGGUUCUAAGAGGAAGAAGGAUGACCUGGGGACCUACUGCGAAUCCUGGAAGGAAAUACAUGUGAGGACGACCUGAGCGACUUGUCUAGACCGUAUCAAGUUGAAUAAAUUCAUCGUCCCUUAUUAUGGCAUGAUAGGCAUGUCACACUCCAUGUUCUCUAACAUUCUUGAGGUGCAACCGACUAUUAUUAUAUUAUAUGUAUAGGACAAAUUUAAAUUUAUAUCAGUAUAUUCACACUAAAACAUAUUUUUCCAUUUUUUUUUUAUCGUGAAUAAAAUCUAGGAAGUGCUUUUCAUUAAAUGUCUCUCGAAAUGCUUCCUAAGUCAAGGAUUUAUUUUCUAGGACCAAAACUCUUUUUUGCCAUCUGUUACCAAUGUUCUGUUACACCUUUCAAAUAAAAACUGCCAAGGUGACCUUAUCAUAAGGACAUUCCAUUAUUGCAAAUAUUUUCUCCAAUUGCAUGAUUCAUCGUUCGACUUCUAGUGGAUCCGUAACACCCUUAAAGGAAGGUACAUCGUUCGAUACACCCACCAUUUCCUGUAACUAACCGUCUAGGUGGAUUGUUGUUCUCCAUUUAACGUUGCAUAAGAGUAACCCUAUUCUCCAUGCUCUAUGGUUUCAUACAAUAAGUAUGAUUUAGAGUAUAUUUCUGUUCCGAUUUCCUAAGAUCCUAAACCUAUUGCUCUUAUACCAUUUUGUCACACCUUAAGUUUUCUAACAUUCUUGAGUUGCAACAGACUAUUCUUAUACAAAUGUACAAGUAGGAAUUUUGAAUUUGUUCUGUACAUAUAUAGUAAAAGAAUAGUCUGUCGCAUCUCAAAAAUGUUAGAAAACUUGGGGUGUGACAUGGCGAAUCACCAAUAGCUGGUAUUGGCAAGUGGAUCAUCCUUGAAAAGGGGAGAAUAACACUUUGUGCCGUGAUGCCAAGCAGGGCAAGAACUUUGUACCACUUGCAUUUGAGAAGCUCUUUGAGUUAGAAUAUACUCGAGACUGGGAGCAAUUUGGGUUGCCCCUGACGAUGGCAAUGGAUGAGGAGUCACCACAGGUUCUUGCUCUUAAAGAAAGAAUGGGGACCCUCUUCGAUGACCUUUGUUCUAUCUUUGAAUGGAAACAAGGCCAGAAGGUUGGCAGUCGAGAGGGGCACCCCAUUCAGGAUUAUAAUGCCCUUAUUGGCAGUGGUCCCCAUUCAGCCCCUGAUGCUAGUUUUUGAUAUGACCAUACUUCAGAGAGGCUCGAGCCACCUCAAAGAGAGAAGAAAAAGAGGAAGAAGCUAGUGAACUCAGAUGUUUUUGAGUCAGAGCCUGGACAUGAGCCUUCUUCUCGACCUAAGAGUGAUAGGUUGACCAAAUCAGCUUCUGGAUCCCAGCCCAUAAUUAGUUCUCCUUACCCAGCCUCGUCUGAGUCUGGAGAUGUGGCUACGGAUGCCGCGGGGGCCCCUAAUCUUGCCAGUAUUCCUUCUGUAUCAGAGAGCAUUCAUUCAACCUUGCAUUCGGUGCAAGAGCCAACACCAGUUGCACCUUUGUCCUCUAGGAGGGUUAGCUUUGACUGGCUUCUUGUUCUUGGGAGAGCAGCCCUCUUCCAGUGAUGGAGAUGACUUGCACGGCUAGCGGGGCCACUGAUGGGGCACGAACAUCAUCCCAGAGGAAGAUCUUAACAUCAUUGUGAUGCCCGAGCAACCCGUGGUGGCUCCUCAUUUUGAUAACCGAUGUAGUGGAGGCCUUGGUUUUUAUGUCGUUAGACGUCGAGUCUUGCUCGGAGCCGAAAGGGUCUUUUAGUGUGGGCCUUGUCGACGCCCCCCCAGAUAUGGUCGCCGCCCUUACCAUGGUCGCUUCAACUGAAGUGACUUCGACCCCGAUUUCAUCAACGAUCAGCCUGCUUUCUAGCGCAAAGUCUGCCAUGGUCAUAGGCAUGCUACGGUGAGGUCUCCAAUUAUUGAAGGGGCGGCUUGGCCCCAAGAUUGCUAACCUUCAUGGCUGUGCUACUCUGAGCAUUUUAGACUGCGAGAAGGAAGUCUUUACUCAUUUUGAAAAUCUGUUAUGUGAGCUAGAGAGUUGGCAAGUAGAGGCUUUGAGAGAAGAGUCAGAGGCAAGCGAGCUACAGGGUGCUCAACUGGCCCCUUUGGAGGCCUUGCUUGAGCAGCAUCGCCAACAAUUUGAUGUAUGUAUUAAAAGGAAGGCUACUCUAAUAGCUAAAAAAUAUGCCUUCAUUAAGCAAGGGACAUCCCAUUUGACCAAGAUGAGGGUCUUGAAGGUGGAAAUAGUUAGGAUGACAAAAGAGUACAAUGAGCUGGACAGACAGGUGAACCAGUGGAGAGCAGAGAACCAGUGUUGUCCAAUGAGCUGACCAGACUCAGUCGCAACAUUGACGCUCAGACUACCUCUGUGUCAUGGGUCGCCCAAGCAGUGACUGAUCUUAGUGGACGUGCGCAACAGGCUAUUGUGCGCUCCGAGGCGGCAAGAGUAAAGAUCAGUGAGGUUGUUGAUCAUUUCUGAGGGCUCUCUUCUUCUCACCCUUCUUUUACUGCUUUUUUGCUCUUGUACAUGGAUGUUGACAGGAUGUAUGGAAUGAAAUACCACUUUUUUGUUUA